CCUACGGGUGGCAGCAGUGAGGAAUAUUGGUCAAUGGACGCGAGUCUGAACCAGCCAAGCCGCGUGCAGGAAGACGGCCCUAUGGGUUGUAAACCGCUUUUGUCGGGGGGUAAAAGCCGCCACGCGUGGCUUUCCGAGAGUACCCGAAGAAUAAGGAUCGGCUAACUCCGUGCCAGCAGCCGCGGUAAUACGGAGGAUGCGAGCGUUAUCCGGAUUUAUUGGGUUUAAAGGGUGCGCAGGCGGAAGAUAAAGUUAGAGGUAAAAUUGAGAGGCUCAACUUCGUCAUGCCGUUGAAACUGGUCGGCUUGAGUGAAGGAGCGGUAGGCGGAAUGCGUGGUGUAGCGGUGAAAUGCAUAGAGAUCACGCAAAACUCCGAUUGCGAAGGCAGCAUACCGGGCCUCAACUGACGCUGAGGCACGAAAGUGUGGGUAUCGAACAGGAUUAGAUACCCUUGUAGUC
This 459-nucleotide ribosomal RNA is filed under the name uncultured bacterium. RNAcentral describes it as "partial 16S ribosomal RNA". It matches the Rfam family "Bacterial small subunit ribosomal RNA", at positions 338 to 795 of the family's 1533-position model. The record is from RNAcentral.